GAUGAACGCUGGCGGCGUGCUUAACACAUGCAAGUCGAACGGAAAGGCUCCUGCCUGCAGGGGUACUCGAGUGGCGAACGGGUGAGUAACACGUGGGGGAUAUGCCCUGUACUUCGGGAGAAGCCUGGGGAACUGGGGCUAAUACAGGGGAUGACAUUCUCUUGGGUGGGGUUGUGGAAAGCUUGUGCGGUAUGGGAUGAGUUCGCGGCCUAUCAGCUUGUUGGUGGGGUAAUGGCCUACCAAGGCGUUGACGGGUAGCCGGCCUGAGAGGGUGUACGGCCACAUUGGGCCUGAGGUACGGCCCAGACUCCUACGGGAGGCAGCAGUGAGGAAUCUUGCACAAUGGGGGCGAGUCUGAUGCAGCGAUGUUGCGUGGGUAAUGACGGCUUUCGGGUUGUAAACUACUUUCGAAAUAGACGAACAUUUUUUGACGGUAGCUUGAGAAAAAGCCCCGGCUAACUACGUG
This 466-nucleotide ribosomal RNA is filed under the name uncultured bacterium. RNAcentral describes it as "partial 16S ribosomal RNA". It matches the Rfam family "Bacterial small subunit ribosomal RNA", at positions 28 to 507 of the family's 1533-position model. The record is from RNAcentral.